UCGAGGAUCUUCGGCAAUGGGCGCAAGCCUGACCGAGCGACGCCGCGUGCGGGAUGAAGGCCUUCGGGUUGUAAACCGCUGUCGGAGGGGAGGAAAUGGUAGGGGGUUCUCCCCCUAUCUUGACCUAUCCUCGGAGGAAGUACGGGCUAAGUUCGUGCCAGCAGCCGCGGUAAGACGAACCGUACGAACGUUAUUCGGAAUCACUGGGCUUAAAGGGUGCGUAGGCGGCGCGGAAAGUUGGGUGUGAAAGCCCUCGGCUCAACCGAGGAAUGGCGCCCAAAACUUCCGUGCUUGAGGGAGAUAGAGGUGAGCGGAACUUAGGGUGGAGCGGUGAAAUGCGUUGAUAUCCUAAGGAACACCGGUGGCGAAAGCGGCUCACUGGAUCUCUUCUGACGCUGAGGCACGAAAGCUAGGGUAGCGAACG
RNAcentral lists this ribosomal RNA (424 nucleotides) under uncultured prokaryote. RNAcentral's name for it is "bacterial SSU rRNA". It matches the Rfam family "Bacterial small subunit ribosomal RNA", at positions 355 to 774 of the family's 1533-position model. The record is from RNAcentral.